GGUGAGGAAAGUGCUGAGAAAACCCAAGACAGUGAUAGCAAAUUUAGAAGUCACAUGACAGUUAGUCCAGAAUUACAUUUAUUUGUGUAUGUAUUUACUUAUUUUUCCAGAGUGGAUUUCUUAUGAUUGGAUUUGUAAUAUACUGACUUUCAAACCAGCAAGUCCUUUUUAAAAAAUAAAAUACUGACAAGACUGACCAGCCUGUGCACUGUCUGGAUUGAUUACAGGAAGGCGUAUGACUCAAUGCCCCACAUAUGGAUCCUGGAAUGCCUAGAACUGAGGGGAUUGAACUACCAGAAGGCAACAUUGCAGACAAAGAGGACAGCUACAAGUACCUGGGCAUCCCACAGGCAAAUGGAAACAAUGAAGACACUGCUAGGCAAGCAGCAACCACCAACUACCUGCAGAGGGUCAGGCAAGUCCUGAGGAGUCAAGAACCAGAUCCAGGCUAUCAACACAUACGCCCUGCCCGGGCUGGGAUAGUAAGCUGGCCAAAGCAGGAGAUAGAAGCCACUGACAUCAAGACAAGAAAGCUCCUGACCAUGCAUGGAGGGUUUCAACCCAAGUCCAGCACCCUGAGGCUGUACGCUAAGCAGAAGGAAGGAGGCCAAGGACUGGGAGAAGAUGAUCUGCAGGAUCCUGCUGCUCAUCAUCCUCACCUCAUGUGUCUCUGGAUCAUUUGUAGUCAAUGUGACACAGACCUGCUAUCAGGCAGAGGAGAACCACAACAUCACACUGGAGUGGACGUUCACCACCAACAUGUUUUGUUUGUGUAAGUUUGGUCAGAAGGUUCCUUUGUAAGUGCGCAUGCGCCAUUAGCGUGCUGCCUGCUGUAACCCUAAUUUCCUCCGGGAUUAAUAAAGUAUUCUGAUUCUGAUUCAGACCUGAUGGAUCCUCUAAAUUCCUUUUUAUCAUCUGUGAACUGAUAGCUGAGGAUAAAGCUUUUGUCCUGCAUCAGUUUUCAGUUUUAUUUGUCAUAUGCAAGUUAGCACAGGGUCAGCAUUGCAAUGAAAUGUGUUUGACGAGCAGCAGUCACUCAGCAGCAUGGUACAGUAGAAGAAAAUAAAAUAAAAUAAUAAAAAAAAUAAAUAGAAAAAUAGUAAAGAGCAAAAUAUUUGAGAGACAUGGUAAAAGAGAAAAGAUGACUAAAUAUAUAUGUAUCUAUAAAUAUAAAUAUAUGUACACUAGUGAUUAAAUAAGAAAAUUUCGAAAAGAAAUAUGAUGGGGGG
Molecule: long non-coding RNA, 1229 nt
Organism: Astatotilapia calliptera (eastern happy)
Lineage: Eukaryota; Metazoa; Chordata; Actinopteri; Cichliformes; Cichlidae
Source: Ensembl